Molecule: long non-coding RNA, 207 nt
Filed under: Lathyrus oleraceus (garden pea)
Lineage: Eukaryota; Viridiplantae; Streptophyta; Magnoliopsida; Fabales; Fabaceae
Description: Pisum sativum (pea) long non-coding RNA (PSAT_LNC029855)
Source: RNAcentral
UUCAUUGAGAUAUAGGAUAAACAAACUAGCUUUUGUGUAGGGCAGCCGUUGGCGACUGAAAUGUAUUUAUGAGAAAUGGAUAGUUAUGAAAGGUUAGAGAUGCAUGACGUAUGUGGGAUGCUAAUACAAUAUAAUUAUUAUGUAUUUUUUUAAAAAAACUCUCUGUUUUUUCAUUAACAAGCUUUUUUUUUUCUCUUUUUGUUUUUC